Diceros bicornis minor is the source of this 715-nucleotide long non-coding RNA. RefSeq lists it as uncharacterized. Lineage: Eukaryota; Metazoa; Chordata; Mammalia; Perissodactyla; Rhinocerotidae. The transcript is spliced from 3 exons. The record is from RefSeq and is a predicted model, not a curated record.
CAGGUUUCACUGAGGCUGUAAACUGAUAUAAUUGGGAAAUAUGGUAAAUUCAGAAAUCAGAUCAUUGUAGCAAAAUAUUACUUUUAAUACCUGAAAGAUAAAGACAUGAAGAUAAACAGCAUUGAUAUGGACAUCCCCCUGAGAUCUCAAAUUUAUUUCCUAUGUUAAUCAAAGUUCUUCAUGCUCAGAGAAACUAAAUUUCACUGGACUGUCUCAAAAGGCAAAGACUGAAUAUCUGUUUCUGAGAAGAGGAUGAGAGUCAAGUAAACACUUUUAGUCCACAGAAAAGUGUGAAGAUUUCCUAUUCCACAGAAGAUUUUCUGUCCUAUUUGGUAAUUGCAGCUUGCCAACUUUUGGUUCUAGCCCCAUGGACCCUCCAUCCCAGGGAGAGAGUGGUAGAACACAGAGAAAAAGAAGGUGUCUAAGACUUAUGGCACAGUGCUUGGAUAUGAAAGAGACUAUUCCAAAGUUAUCAGAAAAAGGAACAGUGAGAAACAUGGAAGCAGUGAAGUGUUAUAUUCUGGGUACUGCAAUUCAACUAAUUUACCUGCGAAUGUGAAAACCUGCAGUAAAUAAUACUGAUAGUAUUUUAUCAACUUGGAUCUAAAACUGGACUUAUUUCAAUAAAAAAUAAUCAUCUAAUUUUUAAAUAAUCAAUGUUGUUCUGUAAAUAUCUGAAAAGUUCACUUUAAACUAGCUUUUGGAUAUUUGAAAU